UACGUAGGUGACCAGCGUUGUCCGGAUUUACUGGGCGUAAAGAGCGCGCAGGCGGUCGUUCAAGUCGAGUGUGAAAGCCCCCGGCUCAACUGGGGAGGGUCAUUCGAUACUGAUCGACUGGAAGGCAGGAGAGGGAAGCGGAAUUCCUGGUGUAGUGGUGAAAUGCGUAGAUAUCGGGAGGAACACCAGUGGCGAAGGCGGCUUCCUGGCCUGUUCUUGACGCUGAGGCGCGAAAGCUAGGGGAGCAAACGGG
RNAcentral lists this ribosomal RNA (253 nucleotides) under uncultured bacterium. Its description in RNAcentral is "partial 16S ribosomal RNA". It matches the Rfam family "Bacterial small subunit ribosomal RNA", at positions 524 to 776 of the family's 1533-position model. The record is from RNAcentral.